This 253-nucleotide ribosomal RNA is filed under the name uncultured bacterium. RNAcentral describes it as "partial 16S ribosomal RNA". It matches the Rfam family "Bacterial small subunit ribosomal RNA", at positions 524 to 776 of the family's 1533-position model. The record is from RNAcentral.
UACGUAGGCAGCAAGCGUUGUUCGGAAUUACUGGGCGUAAAGAGUGUGUAGGCGGUGCUCUAAGUUAGAUGUGAAAUCUCCCGGCUUAACUGGGAGGGUGCGCCGGAAACUGGAGUGCUCGAGCGUGGGAGAGGAAAGCGGAAUUCCUGGUGUAGCGGUGAAAUGCGUAGAUAUCAGGAGGAACACCGGUGGCGAAGGCGGGUCUCUGGGCCGAAAUUGACGCUGAGGAGCGAAAGCGUGGGGAGCAAACAGG